RNAcentral lists this ribosomal RNA (305 nucleotides) under Rhodococcus sp. (in: high G+C Gram-positive bacteria). RNAcentral describes it as "bacterial SSU rRNA". It matches the Rfam family "Bacterial small subunit ribosomal RNA", at positions 928 to 1267 of the family's 1533-position model. The record is from RNAcentral. Lineage: Bacteria; Bacillati; Actinomycetota; Actinomycetes; Mycobacteriales; Nocardiaceae.
CCGCCCAGCGGCGGAGCAUGUGGAUUAUUCGAUGCAACGCGAAGACCCUUGCGUGUCCCCUCCCAGAAGCCGUAGAGAUACGGCCCCCCUUGUGGUUGGUGUCGGUGGUGCAUGGCUGUUCAGCUCUGUCUGAGAUGUUGGUUAGUCCCGCACGAGCGCCACCCUUGUCUUGUUGCCGCCCGUUUGCGGGCCUCGUAAGAGACUCCGGGGUCACUCGAGGAAGGUGGGGACGACGUCAGUCAUCUCCCCUUAUUCCGGGCUUCCCUGCUCAUUGCCCGUUCGAGGGCUGGGCGAAUGAGGUGGAG